Long non-coding RNA from Triticum dicoccoides, 2886 nucleotides. RefSeq lists it as uncharacterized. The transcript has 3 exons. Lineage: Eukaryota; Viridiplantae; Streptophyta; Magnoliopsida; Poales; Poaceae. The record is from RefSeq and is a predicted model, not a curated record.
CCUUGGUGUCCGGGCCGCCAUGGCUGACGCCGGAGCCGUUGGUUGGCCUUGAGGUCAUCCGUCGUUGGCGUCCUCGUCAUCCAUCCAACCACCAGGGAGGAGAUUCCUGAGGCAUUUGAUUCUUGUGGGAUCCCAACACAUCUUGCAAGAUCAACAACAAGUGGCUGGGCCUCUACAUUAUUCAGAAAAGCUAUUUUUAUCUUUCAUUUAUUUGUCUAAUUUAUGUGCCCGUGUAUUCGCCUCCGUUCCGCUCUUGUUGAAGUUCCAACGAAUUUCUGUGCUACCUAAGAGGUACUAAUGCUCAUAUAUUACAAUUUGGUACCCACGACCUUCAGUCACGGGAUCUUGAGAAAAGCAGUUUAGGCAUUUUGUUUGUGUCAACUAUACAGAAUCCCUGCGGUUCGAUUUUUGGUUUGUAGGCAACCAACACAAUAUGCAGGCAAACAGAGAUGAGGUUUUGCUGUAGUAGGCAAAUAUUCAUUGUCCAUUUUAUGUGUUUGUAGGCAACUGAAGUACUCAACCUGUAUAUAUCCAUUAAUUCAUGUACAAGCCAAUCUUUUUUGGCAUAUCCGUUGCAUGAUCAACCUAUGUAUGUUUGUAAUUUUGCCUUACUAAGCUGCUAUACAUAUACUCAGUUUGUCUUUACUAAGCUGCUAUACAUACACUCAAUCUUGUGGUGAUUACAGCUUUGAGCUUGCAACUGAACCUUAAGACUACUAAUUACUUUUGUGGAUGGUUAAACCUGAAAUCUGAAACAAAAUCUGGUAGCAGUCUUGCCCCCCUCAGCAAAAAAAUAUGCAUUGAGGUCAGCUAUCUUCAACGUCCCUUUUUUCGUUUCAGUAAUGCAUGACCAUAGCGUGACAUGAAGUUCUAUCUUGAUCCUUGCCAUGCUACUGCUUUGUUGAACCAUCUCAAGGCGUAUGGACCUGGUUCUUUUUAAGCACAAUUUUCUUUUAUUGUCUUUACAUGCUCAUUUAAUUCGUUUAUGUUUCCUUUUCCGUUGCGGUGGUGGAUGAUAUAUUCUCUGCCAUGAAUGGAUGUUUUUGGCGUUGUGAGAUGGCGUAGGUAACUGAUGAGCUAUGUUUUUAAGGUAGUAAGGCGAGGCAAGGCGCUGGGGGGGCGCCUCACCGCCUAAGCGGUAAGGCAUAAGGCAAGGCGGACGCCUUAGAGAGUUCUGACCAGUAGAAUGAAGUAGAACUUGGUAGGCAACUAGGCAUACACACUACACAUCUUGCACUUGCUGCUGGUUGUAGAGUCCAUAUAGCUCACCUCUGUGCAGUCUGUAUGCUAAUGAGGAGAACGUCCCUCUAUUAAUUUUGGGUGUUGGGUUCUGUUUAGUGAAAUUUUGAAAAUAGUUGGCCUGGUAAAACACCACUGUUUGCCCUGUGGGUCAAUAGGGACUUGACAAACAAAAAAUGCAUCACUCUCCAUUUAAUGGCCUAAAAACACUGGCAUGUUUGGAUGAAAUUUUCAUCUAUAUGUAUAAGCCGUGGGCUAUUCCAAGAAGAGGGUGACUAUGCAUCAGUUGUACAAUCAUGUGUCCAUCUGCUGCUUUUUUGAAUCGUAUAAAAUCUAGAGCUACCUUACAAAACUAUUCUGUUUACUAUGGAGUAAAAUCUAGAGCUAGCUUAUAAUACUGCUUGAAAAUAGCUUUGGCUCUUCACACCUGGGAGUAAUAUGACAGUUUGCAUUCCUAUUUUUGUUUUCUCUGUAUAUAUAUACAGUUUUGAUAUUCUAUUUGUUUGCUCCUGAAGCUUAUGUUUUCCUUUUUCAGAAUUGAGUGUGUAUGAACAAAGCAAUAGAGGUUGUGUUAAUUCCUAGAGCCUAAUAUGUUCUUUUGUCUCCUGGUGAUUAGUUCGAAUGGCCGUGUGAGUUUCGCCGGCCUGUCUCGGCUCAUGUUAGGCACCAUGUCUCGGCUCAUGUCACGGUGACAUGGUGUCUAUAGCCUGUUGGGGCGCCUGCGGGUAUUCUCACUGACCACCUCUGCUUGUUUUGGCUCCUUCUAAUUGAUGUGUUACUUUGUCUAUUUUCAUGUACCCAGAUCCCUGACAAAAUCCAUGUAUUUAGCCGUGGCAUGUUUGGCAGCUGCAGCCGCGUGGCAAUUAAUUAAUUCUCAUUCAACGUAAUUUACUUCUCCCCCUUCAUGUAUCAUGGAUGGAUAUACAUGGUGGUUGGCUGUUAUUAUCGAAGCAAGAGUUACUGAUGAUGACUACAUUUGAGCUGGUUUGCUGCUUACAAAUCGGUAGAGUGAUUUAUCUUGCUAAUGCAUAUAUAGUUAUGAAUGCAGCUCUUUCGCAUCUAGAGAUUGUAUGGCAGCUGCCUCAUAUUUGUACAGUAGACCUGAUCUCCUAAUAGUAUUUUGUGAUGCACAUAUUUUUAUUUCUUUUGAUUUUGCCUUGGUUGUUAUUUAUGCUUAUAGCUUCAUGUCUGGGAUUCUAUUUCAGGGCACUGUUUUAGUUGUUAGUUCAGGUGCUUUUGAUUUUCUGAAUGUAUCUAGGUAAUGUCGAAGAUGCUCUGCUCUUAUUUUUCAGACAUUUACUUUGCUUAUUUUGCUUCUCCUUAGCCUCUUAUCAGUGCCAAUCUUCUUUUAAAUAGCAGGGACAUUCUUUUACUUUUAGGAGGGCAUAUUUUUCCUGGGCCCUGAUGGGUCUUUUCAUAUAUUUCAGAUAUCAGUGGUCCAUGUCACAAUAAACAAGUGAUUCGUACUUAAACAUGACAUGGGGAACCUUGGAUACACCAUUCAGGACAGGGAUAUACUCGAUCUGAGAGAACAUGGGCUUCUUGCCUCCGUCUUUUGUACCCAGUUUACUAGAUAUUAGAUAACAGUGGGUAUUUAAAAAAAAUUGUUACAGAAGUGCCUUGAAUAUAUUCAGCAUAAAUGGGAUG